This 207-nucleotide ribosomal RNA is filed under the name uncultured bacterium. RNAcentral's name for it is "partial 16S ribosomal RNA". It matches the Rfam family "Bacterial small subunit ribosomal RNA", at positions 568 to 774 of the family's 1533-position model. The record is from RNAcentral.
CGUGUAGGCGGCUUGGUAAGUCAGAUGUGAAAGCCCUGGGCUCAACCCAGGAAGUGCAUUUGAAACUACCAGACUUGAGUACGGGAGAGGAGGGGGGAAUUCCCGGUGUAGAGGUGAAAUUCGUAGAUAUCGGGAGGAAUACCGGUGGCGAAGGCGCCCCUCUGGACCGAUACUGACGCUGAGACGCGAAAGCGUGGGGAGCAAACA